This 148-nucleotide small RNA is filed under the name Pongo abelii (Sumatran orangutan). Its description in RNAcentral is "Metazoan signal recognition particle RNA (ENSPPYG00000039380.1)". Lineage: Eukaryota; Metazoa; Chordata; Mammalia; Primates; Hominidae. The record is from Rfam by way of RNAcentral.
GCCAGGCGUGGUGGUGCACACCUGUAAUCCCAGUUACUCAGGAGGCUGAGGCAGGAGAAUCGUUUGAACCCAGGAGGUGGAGGUUGCAGUGAGCCGAGAUCGCACCACUGCACUCCAGCCUGGGCAACAGAGUGAGACCCUGUCUCGA